CCUACGGGAGGCAGCAGUGGGGAAUAUUGCACAAUGGGGGAAACCCUGAUGCAGCGACGCCGCGUGAGUGAAGAAGUAUUUCGGUAUGUAAAGCUCUAUCAGCAGGGAAGAAAAUGACGGUACCUGAUUCAGAAGCCCCGGCUAACUACGUGCCAGCAGCCGCGGUAAUACGUAGGGGGCCAGCGUUAUCCGGAUUUACUGGGUGUAAAGGGAGCGUAGACGGCAGCACAAGUCUGGAGUGAAAUGCCGGGGCUUAACCCCGGAACUGCUUUGGAAACUGUGCAGCUAGAGUGCAGGAGAGGUAAGUGGAAUUCGUAGUGUAGCGGUGAAAUGCGUAGAUAUUAGGAGGAACACCAGUGGCGAAGGCGGCUUACUGGUCUGUAACUGACGCUGAGGUUCGAAAGCGUGGGUAGCAAACAGGAUUAGAUACCCGAGUAGUC
This 440-nucleotide ribosomal RNA is filed under the name uncultured bacterium. Its description in RNAcentral is "partial 16S ribosomal RNA". It matches the Rfam family "Bacterial small subunit ribosomal RNA", at positions 338 to 795 of the family's 1533-position model. The record is from RNAcentral.